Molecule: ribosomal RNA, 253 nt
Filed under: uncultured bacterium
Lineage: Bacteria
Description: partial 16S ribosomal RNA
Rfam family: Bacterial small subunit ribosomal RNA
Source: RNAcentral
UACGUAGGGCGCGAGCGUUGUCCGGAAUUAUUGGGCGUAAAGAGCUCGUAGGCGGUCUGUCGCGUCUGCUGUGAAAUCCCGAGGCUCAACCUCGGGCUUGCAGUGGGUACGGGCAGGCUAGAGUGCGGUAGGGGAGAAUGGAACUCCUGGUGUAGCGGUGGAAUGCGCAGAUAUCAGGAGGAACACCGGUGGCGAAGGCGGGUCUCUGGGCCGAUACUGACGCUGAGGAGCGAAAGCGUGGGGAGCGAACAGG